CGUAGGGUGCGAGCGUUGUCCGGAAUUAUUGGGCGUAAAGAGCUCGUAGGCGGUUUGUCGCGUCGGCCGUGGAAACCGGGGGCUUAACCCUCGGCGUGCGGUCGAUACGGGCAGACUUGAGUUCGGCAGGGGAGACUGGAAUUCCUGGUGUAGCGGUGGAAUGCGCAGAUAUCAGGAGGAACACCGGUGGCGAAGGCGGGUCUCUGGGCCGAUACUGACGCUGAGGAGCGAAAGCGUGGGGAGCGAACAGGAUU
RNAcentral lists this ribosomal RNA (254 nucleotides) under uncultured bacterium. RNAcentral describes it as "partial 16S ribosomal RNA". It matches the Rfam family "Bacterial small subunit ribosomal RNA", at positions 526 to 779 of the family's 1533-position model. The record is from RNAcentral.